RNAcentral lists this transfer RNA (72 nucleotides) under Pangasianodon gigas (Mekong giant catfish). RNAcentral describes it as "tRNA-Glu". Lineage: Eukaryota; Metazoa; Chordata; Actinopteri; Siluriformes; Pangasiidae. The record is from RNAcentral.
GCCCUGGAGGAUAGUGGUUAGGCCACGGCGCUCUCACCGCCGCAGCCCAGGUUUCAAUUCCCAGCCAGGGAA